CCUACGGGUGGCAGCAGUAGGGAAUGUUGCGCAAUGGGCGAAAGCCUGACGCAGCAACGCCGCGUGAAAGAGACGAACUUCGGGGUGUAAAGUUCUGUUAGUGGGGACGAAAAAUGACGGUACCCACAGAGGAAGCACCGGCUAACUCCGUGCCAGCAGCCGCGGUAAUACGGAGGGUGCAAGCGUUGUCCGGAAGCAUUGGGCGUAAAGAGUUCGUAGGCGGCAUGGAAAGUCAGGUGUUAAAGGCGCAGGAUCAACCUGUGUAUGGCACUUGAUACUUGCAAGCUGGAUUGCGGUAGAGGUAGAGGGAAUUCCUGGUGUAGCGGUGAAAUGCUUAGAGAUCAGGAGGAACAUCGGUGGCGUAGGCGCUUUACUGGGCCGUAAUUGACGCUGAGGAACGAAAGCCAGGGUAGCAAAUGGGAUUAGAUACCCGAGUAGUC
RNAcentral lists this ribosomal RNA (440 nucleotides) under uncultured bacterium. RNAcentral describes it as "partial 16S ribosomal RNA". It matches the Rfam family "Bacterial small subunit ribosomal RNA", at positions 338 to 795 of the family's 1533-position model. The record is from RNAcentral.